Molecule: ribosomal RNA, 1171 nt
Filed under: Burkholderia ubonensis
Lineage: Bacteria; Pseudomonadati; Pseudomonadota; Betaproteobacteria; Burkholderiales; Burkholderiaceae
Description: bacterial LSU rRNA
Rfam family: Bacterial large subunit ribosomal RNA
Source: RNAcentral
GUUAUAGGGUCAAGCGAACAAGUGCAUGUGGUGGAUGCCUUGGCGAUCACAGGCGAUGAAGGACGCGGUAGCCUGCGAAAAGCUACGGGGAGCUGGCAAACAAGCUUUGAUCCGUAGAUGUCCGAAUGGGGAAACCCACUCCUUAUGGAGUAUCCAUGGCUGAAUACAUAGGCCAUGCGAAGCGAACGCGGUGAACUGAAACAUCUAAGUAACCGCAGGAAAAGAAAUCAACCGAGAUUCCCAAAGUAGUGGCGAGCGAAAUGGGAUGAGCCUUGUACUCUUUAUUUGUAUUGUUAGCCGAACGCUCUGGAAAGUGCGGCCAUAGCAGGUGAUAGCCCUGUAGGCGAAAACAGUAUGAAAGAACUAGGUGUACGACAAGUAGGGCGGGACACGUGAAAUCCUGUCUGAAGAUGGGGGGACCAUCCUCCAAGGCUAAAUACUCGUGAUCGACCGAUAGUGAACCAGUACCGUGAGGGAAAGGCGAAAAGAACCCCGGGAGGGGAGUGAAAUAGAUCCUGAAACCGCAUGCAUACAAACAGUCGGAGCCUCUUCGGGGGUGACGGCGUACCUUUUGUAUAAUGGGUCAGCGACUUACGUUCAGUAGCAAGCUUAACCGUAUAGGGCAGGCGUAGCGAAAGCGAGUCCGAAUAGGGCGUUCAGUUGCUGGGCGUAGACCCGAAACCAGGUGAUCUAUCCAUGGCCAGGAUGAAGGUGCGGUAACACGUACUGGAGGUCCGAACCCACUAACGUUGAAAAGUUAGGGGAUGAGCUGUGGAUAGGGGUGAAAGGCUAAACAAACCUGGAAAUAGCUGGUUCUCUCCGAAAACUAUUUAGGUAGUGCCUCGUGUCUCACCUUCGGGGGUAGAGCACUGUCAUGGUUGGGGGGUCUAUUGCAGAUUACCCCGCCAUAGCAAACUCCGAAUACCGAAGAGUGCAAUCACGGGAGACAGACAUCGGGUGCUAACGUCCGGUGUCAAGAGGGAAACAACCCAGACCGCCAGCUAAGGUCCCCAAAUAUGGCUAAGUGGGAAACGAAGUGGGAAGGCUAAAACAGUCAGGAGGUUGGCUUAGAAGCAGCCACCCUUUAAAGAAAGCGUAAUAGCUCACUGAUCGAGUCGUCCUGCGCGGAAGAUGUAACGGGGCUAAGCCAUAUACCGAAGCUGCGGAUGCG